This 253-nucleotide ribosomal RNA is filed under the name uncultured bacterium. RNAcentral describes it as "partial 16S ribosomal RNA". It matches the Rfam family "Bacterial small subunit ribosomal RNA", at positions 524 to 776 of the family's 1533-position model. The record is from RNAcentral.
UACGUAGGGUCCGAGCGUUGUCCGGAAUUACUGGGCGUAAAGAGCUCGUAGGUGGUUUGUCGCGUUGUUCGUGAAAACUCACAGCUCAACUGUGGGCGUGCGGGCGAUACGGGCAGACUGGAGUACUGCAGGGGAGACUGGAAUUCCUGGUGUAGCGGUGGAAUGCGCAGAUAUCAGGAGGAACACCGGUGGCGAAGGCGGGUCUCUGGGCCGAUACUGACGCUGAGGAGCGAAAGCGUGGGGAGCGAGCAGG